RNAcentral lists this ribosomal RNA (482 nucleotides) under uncultured bacterium. RNAcentral's name for it is "partial 16S ribosomal RNA". It matches the Rfam family "Bacterial small subunit ribosomal RNA", at positions 30 to 507 of the family's 1533-position model. The record is from RNAcentral.
AUUGAACGCUGGCGGCAUGCUUUACACAUGCAAGUCGAACGGUAACAGGCCGCAAGGUGCUGACGAGUGGCGAACGGGUGCGUAAUGCAUCGGAACGUGCCCAGUCGUGGGGGAUAACUACUCGAAAGAGUAGCUAAUACCUCAUACGAUCUAUGGAUGAAAGCGGGGGACCGUAAGGCUUCGCGCGAUUGGAGCGGCCGAUGUCAGAUUAGGUAGUUGGUGAGGUAAAGGCUCACCAAGCCAACGAUCUGUAGCUGGUCUGAGAGGACGACCAGCCACACUGGGACUGAGACACGGCCCAGACUCCUACGGGAGGCAGCAGUGGGGAAUUUUGGACAAUGGGCGCAAGCCUGAUCCAGCAAUGCCGCGUGCAGGAAGAAGGCCUUCGGGUUGUAAACUGCUUUUGUACGGAACGAAACGGCUCUGGUUAAUACCCGGGGCUAAUGACGGUACCGAAAGAAUAAGCACCGGCUAACUACGUG